GAGAAGAACGCAGCGAAAUGCGAUAAGUAAUGUGAAUUGCAGAAUUCAGUGAAUCAUCGAAUCUUUGAACGCACAUUGCGCCCGCCAGUAUUCUGGCGGGCAUGCCUGUUCGAGCGUCAUUUCAACCCUCAGGCCCCCAGUGCCUGGCGUUGGGGAUCGGCGCGGCGCCCUCCGGGGCGCUGCCGGCCCCGAAAUUCAGUGGCGGUCUCGCUGUAGCCCUCCUCCGCGUAGUAGCACAACCUCGCGGCCUGGAGCUCGGCGGUGGCCAUGCCGUAAAACACCCCACUUCUGAAAGUUGACCUCGGAUCAGGUAGGAAUACCCGCUGAACUUAAGCAUAUCAAUAAGCGGAGGA
Molecule: unclassified non-coding RNA, 353 nt
Filed under: soil metagenome
Description: partial contains 5.8S ribosomal RNA, internal transcribed spacer 2, and large subunit ribosomal RNA
Rfam family: 5.8S ribosomal RNA (bases 3-119)
Source: RNAcentral